AUUUUCUCAGCCUUUUGGCUAAGAUCAAGUAUAGUAUCUGCUUCCAAAAUCAAGUGUUGACCAGGGAGAGGGAGGGUCAAGGUGUAAGAUUUCUUUGGCCAUUCUGCUGCAGCAUCAAGCAGGCUAAUAGGCAACAUUUGGAUAAAACCCUUUAAAACAUACAAUGUAUAGUAUAUAUAAAGGGUUUUAUCCAAAUUUU
Non-coding RNA from Anolis sagrei ordinatus, 199 nucleotides. The record is from RefSeq and is a predicted model, not a curated record. NCBI's taxonomy places the organism in Eukaryota, Metazoa, Chordata, Lepidosauria, Squamata, Anolidae.